GCCACCAUAGCUCAGUGGUUAGAGCAGUGUUCUUGUAAAGCAACGGUUGUGAAUUCUAUUCUCACUGGUGGCU
Molecule: non-coding RNA, 73 nt
Organism: Centruroides sculpturatus (bark scorpion)
Lineage: Eukaryota; Metazoa; Arthropoda; Arachnida; Scorpiones; Buthidae
Source: the annotation of a RefSeq genome assembly